AUUGAACGCUGGCGGCAGGCCUAACACAUGCAAGUCGAACGAGUGGCGGACGGGUGAGUAAUGUCUGGGAAACUGCCUGCUGGAGGGGGAUAACUACUGGAAACGGUAGCUAAUACCGCAUACCAUCGGAUGUGCCCAGAUGGGAUUAGCUAGUAGGUGGGGUAACGGCUCACCUAGGCGACGAUCCCUAGCUGGUCUGAGAGGAUGACCAGCAAAACUGGAACUGAGACACGGGCCAGAGUCCUACGGGAGGCAGGAGGGGGGAAGAUGGCACAAGGGGCGCAAGCCUGAUGCAGCCAUGCCGCGUGUAUGAAGAAGGCCUUCGGGUUGUAAAGUACUUUCAGCGGGGAGGCGUUACCCGCAGAAGAAGCACCGGCUAACUCCGUGCCAGCCGCCGCGGUAAUUC
This 406-nucleotide ribosomal RNA is filed under the name uncultured bacterium. RNAcentral's name for it is "partial 16S ribosomal RNA". It matches the Rfam family "Bacterial small subunit ribosomal RNA", at positions 29 to 526 of the family's 1533-position model. The record is from RNAcentral.